Molecule: unclassified non-coding RNA, 515 nt
Filed under: Hevea brasiliensis (rubber tree)
Lineage: Eukaryota; Viridiplantae; Streptophyta; Magnoliopsida; Malpighiales; Euphorbiaceae
Source: RNAcentral
GAGAAAGUGUCGUCGUUGUCUUUUCUUGACCGGAGAGAGAGUGGCCUCCUUCACUUUGUUAAGUACCACGGUCUCGGCAAUGACUUCAUCUUGGUUGAUAAUAGGGACUCAUCAGAGCCUAGGAUCACCCCGGAGCAAGCUGCGAAGUUAUGUGAUCGAAACUUUGGGAUCGGUGCUGACGGAGUUAUCUUUGCUAUGCCGGGCGUUAAUGGUACUGAUUAUACCAUGAGGAUAUUCAAUUCCGACGGUAGUGAACCUGAGAUGUGUGGUAAUGGAGUACGGUGCUUUGCCAGAUUUAUUGCGGAGCUUGAGAAUUUGCAGGGAAGGCAUAGUUUCACUGUUCAUACUGGUGCUGGUCUUAUUAUUCCAGAACUUCAGGAUGAUGGACAGGUAAAAGUAGACAUGGGCGAACCAAUUCUCAAAGCAUCAGAUGUGCCUACCCGAUUGACACCAACUUCAGACCAAUCUGUUGUUAAGGCAGACAUAGAAGUAGAUGGAGUUGCAUGGAGCGUGAC